Epinephelus lanceolatus (giant grouper) is the source of this 274-nucleotide non-coding RNA. The record is from RefSeq and is a predicted model, not a curated record. Lineage: Eukaryota; Metazoa; Chordata; Actinopteri; Perciformes; Serranidae.
AAGUAACCGGAAGUCUCGUGUGUGUUGUAGCGUUAGCUGAGGAGCAUAUUUGUCAGUGUUGAGGCGGCAGAGCUCCAGGUAAACCCGCACACACUCAGAAUCCAGAGAGAGACCAGGACAUCAGAGUCCAUGAGAGAGGAGGAGCAGGAGGAGCAGUAGAGGAGCGGAAUGGAGGAGGACAAGCAGAACCCGGAGCACCGGAGCAACAAGGUCCGGAGAAGACAAGCAGCAGGCUCGUCCUCUGAUAGCAGCGAUGUUGAGGAACAGAGAGGAA